CCUACGGGUGGCUGCAGUGGGGAAUAUUGGACAAUGGGCGCAAGCCUGAUCCAGCCAUGCCGCGUGAGUGAUGACGGCCUUAGGGUUGUAAAGCUCUUUUGUCCGGGACGAUAAUGACGGUACCGGAAGAAUAAGCCCCGGCUAACUUCGUGCCAGCAGCCGCGGUAAUACGAAGGGGGCUAGCGUUGCUCGGAAUCACUGGGCGUAAAGGGCGCGUAGGCGGCUUAUCAAGUCGGGGGUGAAAGCCCGUGGCUCAACCACGGAAUGGCCUUCGA
This 275-nucleotide ribosomal RNA is filed under the name uncultured Methylobacterium sp. RNAcentral's name for it is "partial 16S ribosomal RNA". It matches the Rfam family "Bacterial small subunit ribosomal RNA", at positions 338 to 630 of the family's 1533-position model. Lineage: Bacteria; Pseudomonadati; Pseudomonadota; Alphaproteobacteria; Hyphomicrobiales; Methylobacteriaceae. The record is from RNAcentral.